This 526-nucleotide ribosomal RNA is filed under the name uncultured bacterium. RNAcentral describes it as "bacterial SSU rRNA". It matches the Rfam family "Bacterial small subunit ribosomal RNA", at positions 8 to 518 of the family's 1533-position model. The record is from RNAcentral.
AGAGUUUGAUCCUGGCUCAGGAUGAACGCUAGCUACAGGCUUAACACAUGCAAGUACGAGGGGAAACGAUAUAGGAAGCUUGCUUUCGUUAGGCGUCGACCGGCGAAUGGGUGAGUAACGCGUAUCCAACCUGCCCCUGAGUAAGGGAUAGCCCAUCGAAAGAUGGAUUAAUACCUUAUGGUCUCCUUUGCAGACAUCUAAUUAGGAGUAAAGAUUUAUCGCUGAGGGAUGGGGAUGCGUCUGAUUAGGCUUGUUGGCGGGGUAACGGCCCACCAAGGCAACGAUCAGUAGGGGUUCUGAGAGGAAGGUCCCCCACAUUGGUACUGAGACACGGACCAAACUCCUACGGGAGGCAGCAGUGAGGAAUAUUGGUCAAUGGACGGAAGUCUGAACCAGCCAAGUAAGCGUGCAGGAAGACUGCCCUAUGGGUUGUAAACUGCUUUUAUACGGGGAUAAAGUCAGGGUCGUGACCCUGUUUGCAGGUACCGUAUGAAUAAGGACCGGCUAAUUCCGUGCCAGCCGCGGC